RNAcentral lists this ribosomal RNA (403 nucleotides) under Fusobacteriota bacterium. RNAcentral describes it as "Fusobacteria bacterium partial 16S ribosomal RNA". It matches the Rfam family "Bacterial small subunit ribosomal RNA", at positions 355 to 776 of the family's 1533-position model. Lineage: Bacteria; Fusobacteriati; Fusobacteriota. The record is from RNAcentral.
UGGGGGAUAUUGCACAAUGGGCGAAACCCUGAUGCAGCGACGCCGCGUGAGCGAUGAAGGUUUUCGAAUCGUAAAGCUCUGUCCUAUGGGAAGAUAAUGACGGUACCAUGGGAGGAAGCCCCGGCUAACUACGUGCCAGCAGCCGCGGUAAUACGUAGGGGGCGAGCGUUGUCCGGAAUUACUGGGCGUAAAGGGUUCGCAGGCGGCAUGGCAAGUCCGAUGUAAAAGGCGAAGGCUCAACCUUCGUAAGCAUCGGAAACUGUCAAGCUUGAGUGAAGGAGAGGCAAGUGGAAUUCCUAGUGUAGCGGUGGAAUGCGUAGAUAUUAGGAGGAAUACCGGUGGCGAAGGCGACUUGCUGGACUUCAACUGACGCUGAGGAACGAAAGCGUGGGUAGCAAACAGG